UGGUGCCAGCAACCGCGGUAAUUCCAGCUCCAAUAGCGUAUAUUAAAGUGUUGCAGUUAAAAAGCUCGUAGUUGAAUUUCGGGACUAAUAUGUCGGUCGUGCCUCGGUACGUACUGGUAUUUUGGUUUCUCCCUUCUGACGAACCUUGAUGUCAUUAAUUUGGUGUCUCGGGAAAUCAGGACUGUUACUUUGAAAAAUUAGAGUGUUUAAAGCAGGCUCACGCUUGAAUACAUUAGCACGGAAUAAUGAAAUAGGACGUUUGAUUCUAUUUUGUUGGUUUCUAGGAUCGACGUAAUGAUUAAUAGGGAUAGUUGGGGGGCAUUAGUAUUCAAUUGUCAGAGGUGAAAUUCUUGGAUUUAUUGAAGACUAACUACUGCGAAAGCAUUUGCCAAGGAUGUUUUCAUUAAUCAAGAACGAAAGUUAGGGGGAUCGAAGACGAUCAGAUACCGUCGUAGUCUUAACCAUAAACUAUGCCGACUAGGGAUCGGAUGAUGUUAAUUUUUUAAUGACUCAUUCGGCGCCUUACG
RNAcentral lists this ribosomal RNA (527 nucleotides) under uncultured Glomus. RNAcentral describes it as "SSU rRNA". It matches the Rfam family "Eukaryotic small subunit ribosomal RNA", at positions 562 to 1092 of the family's 1831-position model. The record is from RNAcentral. Lineage: Eukaryota; Fungi; Glomeromycota; Glomeromycetes; Glomerales; Glomeraceae.